GAAUUUUUCCCGUGCUGCAAAUCUGUCUAAACAAUUGUCUAGCUAUAUUUUAGGUAAUUGGACUGGAGAAUUCGAUGCUACGAUGGAGCAGCUGAGAGUGGCCAUUAUCACGUUUCUUCGCUGGCUUGCUUUUGUCGACGCUGGUGAUUGAACACAGCUUUGCCACUGAGUCCCACAACUGUCCUGCUCUUUUAUGGAAGUUAUUUCUAUACUAGCUAUGACCCAAGGCUCUCACUCACCCUCUACUCUAGUCUCCUGCCGUGUUCCUCUGGUUAGUCCUGCAGUGCCGGUCUCUGGGAAUGACUACAGACUCUCUGGGAUCACAGCUGCACCCAUGUCACCACACCUGUCUGCGGAUCCGGACUUUGAGCAGAUGCACAUGCUCAUUUCAUCGCUGCCUCAACUUUGCUCACGGUGUGGAGGAAGGGGCAUGACGUAGCCGCGUGUGUGGAGUCGGAGGACGGCUUGCUGGAGUCGGUUUUUCCCUUCGACCAUGAGGCUCCUGGGGAUCAAAUCUGUCUGUCAGGCUUGGCAGCCAGCUCUCCCCAGCCCACAUGUAACCUCCUCCUUUAAAAAUGGGGAUCUCGGGGCUGCAGAGAUGGCUCAGCAGUGAAGAGGGCAUGCUGCUCUUGCAGAGGACCCGAGUUCAGGUGCUGGAACCCAGACUGGGUAUUUUACAGCUACCUGUAAUCCUAGUUCCCGGAGGAUCCCACGCCUCUGGCCUCCCUGGGCACCAGAACUUGUGUG
Meriones unguiculatus (Mongolian gerbil) is the source of this 747-nucleotide long non-coding RNA. RefSeq lists it as uncharacterized. The transcript is spliced from 4 exons. NCBI's taxonomy places the organism in Eukaryota, Metazoa, Chordata, Mammalia, Rodentia, Muridae. The record is from RefSeq and is a predicted model, not a curated record.